GAUGAACGCUGGCGGCGUGCCUAAUACAUGCAAGUCGAGCGAACGGACGAGAAGCUUGCUUCUCUGAUGUUAGCGGCGGACGGGUGAGUAACACGUGGAUAACCUACCUAUAAGACUGGGAUAACUUCGGGAAACCGGAGCUAAUACCGGAUAAUAUUUUGAACCGCAUGGUUCAAAAGUGAAAGACGGUCUUGCUGUCACUUAUAGAUGGAUCCGCGCUGCAUUAGCUAGUUGGUAAGGUAACGGCUUACCAAGGCAACGAUGCAUAGCCGACCUGAGAGGGUGAUCGGCCACACUGGAACUGAGACACGGUCCAGACUCCUACGGGAGGCAGCAGUAGGGAAUCUUCCGCAAUGGGCGAAAGCCUGACGGAGCAACGCCGCGUGAGUGAUGAAGGUCUUCGGAUCGUAAAACUCUGUUAUUAGGGAAGAACAUAUGUGUAAGUAACUGUGCACAUCUUGACGGUACCUAAUCAGAAAGCCACGGCUAACUACGUGCCAGCAGCCGCGGUAAUACGUAGGUGGCAAGCGUUAUCCGGAAUUAUUGGGCGUAAAGCGCGCGUAGGCGGUUUUUUAAGUCUGAUGUGAAAGCCCACGGCUCAACCGUGGAGGGUCAUUGGAAACUGGAAAACUUGAGUGCAGAAGAGGAAAGUGGAAUUCCAUGUGUAGCGGUGAAAUGCGCAGAGAUAUGGAGGAACACCAGUGGCGAAGGCGACUUUCUGGUCUGUAACUGACGCUGAUGUGCGAAAGCGUGGGGAUCAAACAGGAUUAGACACCCUGGUAGUCCACGCCGUAAACGAUGAGUGCUAAGUGUUAGGGGGUUUCCGCCCCUUAGUGCUGCAGCUAACGCAUUAAGCACUCCGCCUGGGGAGUACGACCGCAAGGUUGAAACUCAAAGGAAUUGACGGGGACCCGCACAAGCGGUGGAGCAUGUGGUUUAAUUCGAAGCAACGCGAAGAACCUUACCAAAUCUUGACAUCCUUUGACAACUCUAGAGAUAGAGCUUUCCCCUUCGGGGGACAAAGUGACAGGUGGUGCAUGGUUGUCGUCAGCUCGUGUCGUGAGAUGUUGGGUUAAGUCCCGCAACGAGCGCAACCCUUAAGCUUAGUUGCCAUCAUUAAGUUGGGCACUCUAAGUUGACUGCCGGUGACAAACCGGAGGAAGGUGGGGAUGACGUCAAAUCAUCAUGCCCCUUAUGAUUUGGGCUACACACGUGCUACAAUGGACAAUACAAAGGGCAGCGAAACCGCGAGGUCAAGCAAAUCCCAUAAAGUUGUUCUCAGUUCGGAUUGUAGUCUGCAACUCGACUACAUGAAGCUGGAAUCGCUAGUAAUCGUAGAUCAGCAUGCUACGGUGAAUACGUUCCCGGGUCU
This 1372-nucleotide ribosomal RNA is filed under the name uncultured bacterium. RNAcentral describes it as "bacterial SSU rRNA". It matches the Rfam family "Bacterial small subunit ribosomal RNA", at positions 28 to 1381 of the family's 1533-position model. The record is from RNAcentral.